This 435-nucleotide unclassified non-coding RNA is filed under the name fungal sp. Its description in RNAcentral is "partial internal transcribed spacer region". The stretch from base 1 to 46 matches the Rfam family "Eukaryotic small subunit ribosomal RNA", at positions 1786 to 1831 of the family's 1831-position model. The record is from RNAcentral. Lineage: Eukaryota; Fungi.
AAGUCGUAACAAGGUUUCCGUAGGGGAACCUGCGGAAGGAUCAUUAACGUAUUACGCCGUUCACUGCGAACUGUGCGUAUAACGAAAAUAAUCCCCAGUUAUUACAACUACCAAGUAUCCGUCACCGAUUGUUGUGUGUACGGCGUCUCGUGCGUGAUGUAGUCGUUCUCGACGGCGUCCGUGCUUGUACGUAGUAUACUAUGCAGUAUAUCGGUUUCGGCGUCGCGCUAUAGUUCGAUGUAGACAGGUGAAAAUCCGCGCCUCGAGUUGAACUUUGCGUGUACGUAAAUACCAAAAAACUAUGCGGUUUAGAAUUUGUGCGCUCUUAACUGAGCGCACUUUUUUCUAAGAUAUUUUAUUUUUUUAUCUUUCAAUAUGACAUAUAUAUUGUAUCCAUAAACCAUUACCCUGGACGGUGGAUCACUUGGCUCGCGG